UACGGAGGGAGCUAGCGUUGUUCGGAAUUACUGGGCGUAAAGCGCACGUAGGCGGCUUUGUAAGUUAGAGGUGAAAGCCCGGGGCUCAACUCCGGAACUGCCUUUAAGACUGCAUCGCUUGAAUCCGGGAGAGGUGAGUGGAAUUCCGAGUGUAGAGGUGAAAUUCGUAGAUAUCGUCAGGAAUGCCGGUGGUGAAGACGGGUGACUGGGCUGGUUCUGACACUGAGGCACGAAAGCGUGGGGAGCGAACGGG
RNAcentral lists this ribosomal RNA (253 nucleotides) under uncultured bacterium. RNAcentral describes it as "partial 16S ribosomal RNA". It matches the Rfam family "Bacterial small subunit ribosomal RNA", at positions 524 to 776 of the family's 1533-position model. The record is from RNAcentral.